UGUUAUUUAAAAAAUAAUUAAAUUUAAUAGAGUAGUAUUAGUUAUAUGCUUAAAACUUAAUAAAUUUGGCGGUAUUUUAAUCUAUUCAGAGGAACUUGUUUUAUAAUUGAUAAUCCUCAUUUUAUCUUACUUAAUUUAAUUAAAUUUGUAUACCGUUGUCAUAAGAAUUUCUUUAAAAAGUAAUAAUUUUCUAAAAUUUUUAUUAAUAAUAAUGUCAAAUCAAGGUGCAGUUUAUAUUUAAGUAAAAAUGAGUUACAAUAAAUUUAUUUAUUUAUGAAUUAAAAAUUGAAAUAUUUUUAUGAAGGAGGAUUUGAUAGUAAAAUAAAAUUAAUAAUUUUAUUUGAUUAUAGUUCUAAAAUAUGUACAAAUCGCCCG
RNAcentral lists this ribosomal RNA (375 nucleotides) under Neoempheria lineola. RNAcentral's name for it is "partial 12S ribosomal RNA". Lineage: Eukaryota; Metazoa; Arthropoda; Insecta; Diptera; Mycetophilidae. The record is from RNAcentral.